This 114-nucleotide ribozyme is filed under the name Aedes aegypti (yellow fever mosquito). RNAcentral describes it as "drz-agam-1 ribozyme". It matches the Rfam family "drz-agam-1 ribozyme". The record is from Rfam by way of RNAcentral. Lineage: Eukaryota; Metazoa; Arthropoda; Insecta; Diptera; Culicidae.
AGCCAGACACUCCUAUCCCUACCUCCUCGCGGUACUAGCCGGGUACGAGUAACCUUGCGGAAGAUCGGGUAGUCAACCCCGGUGGGAACUCUGGUCGUAUGCUGACAGGGAAGG